Molecule: long non-coding RNA, 1350 nt
Organism: Tupaia belangeri chinensis (Chinese tree shrew)
Lineage: Eukaryota; Metazoa; Chordata; Mammalia; Scandentia; Tupaiidae
Exons: 3
Source: RefSeq, a predicted model, not a curated record
AGGGCAACGAGGACACACCUGCAGGGAGCACACGCACCAGCCCGGGCUGGGAGGAGAAAAGCCUGCUGUCGGCACCAGGAAUCAGGCAGAUUGCUCUCAAGCUGCUGCAGCUGGGAAGAGGCCGCCGUAGGCCUGAGUUCGCCUCAGGUGCACUGGGACCGCAGGGCUGGGACAGGAGCAGUGUGGGAUCAGUGGGCUAUGUGGUCGCUGCUGCCUCCCAGGGCCCAGAACAGCCCCAGCCCGCAGCCUGGUGGUACAGCUGACAAGUGACCGCGAGCGACAGCGUCGCGGCUGGGACCGAGGACGUGAUAUGAAAUCGCUGCUGGACGGAACGCACAGACUUCGACCCCAUGUCCGCAGGAACUUGGAGUCUCCCUGUGUAUCGGCCUCAGGUCAUUCCCAGGAGUGGGACUGCUCAGGUGUGCAGACAGGUGUGCACUUAGAUCUCCGAGAGACCGCCAAGCACAUUCCACGGCGGGACGACAGGUGUUCCCCCGCAGGGACUGCAGGGCUGCGGCUGGGCAGAGGCACGGGCGUGCCAGAGUUGUGCAAGUCCAUGGCACACGCUGCACACUGACUCACCCAGUCUCCAGGCACCAAACCAACCUUCCAGCUGGCUCUGGGCUGGCCCUGCAGUGGCCAUGUCGGGCUCCCUGCCACCCUGCAGCCUGUGAAGCAGGCCCACCACAGAAAGCUUCGCUGGGCCAUCAGGUCUGGUCCCAGAGGCAUGGUCCCAGUCACAUCGACACUGUCCUAACCCUGCCCCAGGGGUCACUGGCCCAUGCCGGCUGCCCUCUCUGCUGCCUCCACCCUGGCUGGGGUACAGCUGGGGUUCCCCUGGGCUGGGCUGGGCUGGUCUUCUCUCAGAGACCCAGGAGAGCCGCUGCUUGGCCCGAGCAUCUGCACCAGGCUUCCUAAGAGGACAUCUGCCCUGCACCAGCUCUGGUCCGGGGUCUGGAAGGUGAGGAUGGCGACAGUGCCUCCCAGCCGAGGAUGCCGAAGAGGUGGGGCGAUGGAGCCGGGAGGACGCGAAGGUUCGCAAACAGCCUCUCACUGCUCCGUGAAGGCGGACUGGCCGCUGCCCCAUACCUGGGCUGCCCCGUUCCAGCAUGGACGUCCACAGCCGGGGGAGCGGACGGGCCCAGCGCAACCUGACCGGCAGUGGGUGCAGCACCUUCUCCUCCCUGGGACGCUGCAGGGCUUACCAUCAGGGUCCACGCGCCACCCUCCACCCAGUCCGCCCACCCGCCAGGCCUUCCCGGCUCUGCCUUCCCAGCAGCCCGUGCAGAGGGCCGCACACACACCAUGACUCUGUUCCAAAGAGCAGCAUUUCUGGGCCCAGCAGGUGAC